This 411-nucleotide long non-coding RNA is filed under the name Homo sapiens (human). RNAcentral's name for it is "non-protein coding lnc-TXNRD1-5:1". The record is from RNAcentral. Lineage: Eukaryota; Metazoa; Chordata; Mammalia; Primates; Hominidae.
AUGCAGACCCCCGGGGCACUACUCAUUUCUCUAGCUCUGGUUUACUGUGGUACCAGGGGUCUAAUCAGGCCUGUGUCUGCCUCCUUCUUGAAUAGCCCAGAGAAUUCAUCUAAACAGCCUUCCUACAGCAGUUCCCUACUCCAGGUGGCCACAUAGGAGUUCCAGACCAGUGUUGUCUCCGGGGACAUUGACACAGCAGCCAAGUUUAUUGGUGUUGGGGCAGCCACAGUUGGUGUGGGUGGUUCAGGGGCUGGCAUUGGAGCGGUGUUUGGCAGCCUGAUCAUUGGCUGUGCCAGAAACCUGUCUCUCAAGCAGCAGCUCUUCUUCUAUGCCAUUCUGGGCUUUGCCCUGUCUGAGGUCAUGGGGCUCUUCUGUUUGAUGGUUGCCUUCCUCAUCCUCUUCACCAUGUGA